Molecule: non-coding RNA, 126 nt
Organism: Pteronotus mesoamericanus
Lineage: Eukaryota; Metazoa; Chordata; Mammalia; Chiroptera; Mormoopidae
Product: small Cajal body-specific RNA 4
Exons: 1
Source: RefSeq, a predicted model, not a curated record
ACUGGAGGACUAAGGCUGAGUCUGGGGAAGCAAGACUGCUGAUACAAUCCUCCUAGAAAAAAGCAUUGGAGACAGCAGCCCCCUUAUGGGAGAAUAUCACAGGUCUGACUGUACUACCCAACAUUC